UCUAGUUGUUUUAAAACCUUUUAUAUAUUUUAAAUAAACUGGCUUAAGUCCACUGACAUCCGAUACAACAUUAGAAGCUGAAUAUUAAAUAUGUGAAAAAAAUGCUCAUAAAUAAAUAAAUAAAUAUAAAUUGUUUGUUUCGUAGAUGUAAGACACAAAUACAGACACUUUUUAUUCUGUCUAUACGAAAUUUAUGAUUAAUCAUUGCAUGUAUUUAUAAUUCUGCACGACUCUCGAAUUCAACAUUGAGAGGUCACAAGGUCAAGUUGUUGUUUUUUUUAACUCCCUCCAUUACGAUAUAUUAUAGUUCAGAAAUCUGAAGGUAAGUUCAUGUCCUUGUCGGAAAUGAUUUAGCUCAAUGUAAGGUUCUUAUUGAGACAGCCCACAUUGA
Non-coding RNA from Biomphalaria pfeifferi, 391 nucleotides. Lineage: Eukaryota; Metazoa; Mollusca; Gastropoda; Planorbidae. The record is from the annotation of a GenBank genome assembly.